Long non-coding RNA from Neofelis nebulosa (Clouded leopard), 4064 nucleotides. RefSeq lists it as uncharacterized. Lineage: Eukaryota; Metazoa; Chordata; Mammalia; Carnivora; Felidae. The transcript is spliced from 2 exons. The record is from RefSeq and is a predicted model, not a curated record.
CCAUUUUGUAUGCUAGGAGACCCCUCCCCACCAAAGAAAAAUUUUCCAUUUGGUAAUGUUAAGUGAUAGUUCUAAAAACAAAAAUCUAAUGUCAAAGACAGGAUUGACAUGUGGUUUUGGAAUAAUACUUCAAAAUGUAAUAAGGCCAGUAUAACUGUCCCAAAAGCUAUUUUUAAGCUUUCUAGUACAUUUAUUUAUGUGAUACUGCAUUAUGACAUUUUUUUAAAUACAAAAUUUUAGCUCUAGCAUAUACAGAUAACAUUAUUGUAAGUCUUUGUCUACAUAUUUCUAUAUGGGAAAGUCUUUUUUCUCUUCUGGUUGUGUGGAGAUAUAAAUGACCUAUAACUGCAUAAGUUUAAGGUGUGCAAUAUAUCAAUUUGAUAAAUGUAUAUAGUGUGAAAUGAUACCCACAAUGUUUAGUUAACAUCCAUCACCUCACACAGUGAUAAGGAAAAAGGUCUUUUAUGGUGACAUUUUCUUUUAACUUUUUCAUGUUGAAUUUUAAUGUUUAUUUAUUUUUGAGAGAGAGAGACAGAGCAUGAGUGGAGGAGGGCCAGAGAGAGAGGGAGACACAGAAUCUGAAGCAGGCUCCAGGCUCUGAGCUAUCAGCACAGAGCCCGAUGUGGGGCUGGAACUUACAAACCAUGAGAUCAUGACCUGAGUCAAAGUCGGAUGCUCAACCGACUGAGCCACCCAGGUGCCCCUUUCAUGUUGAAUUUUAAGAAAAAAGGAGUGUUGAGCAUUUUGCCAUGAUGGUUUCCUUGAAAUUCAACAACUGAAUAUACAAGUAUUGUAUAUUUAUGUUUUUAAGUAUUAUUUUGAGAGUAUGAGUAGGGGAGGAGUCGAGACAGGGAAAGAGAAUCCCAAGCAGGCCCUACACUGUCAACGCAGAGCCCAACAUAGGGCUUGAACUCAAUGAACCAUGAGAUCAUGACCUGAGCUAAAAUCAAGAGUCAGAUGCUUAAAUGACUGAGCCACCCAGGCACCCCUCCUAGUGCUGUAUAUUUAAACCCAAAGAGGACCUGAAGUUUAAUUUUUUUUUUUUUUUUUGGUUUAGUUUGAGAGAGAGCACAAGUGGGUUGGGGGCAGAGAGAGAGGGAGACAGAGAAUCCUAAGCAGGCUCUGCACUGUAAGUGCAGAGUCCAGAGUGGGGCUCAAACUCACAACCAUGAGAUCAUGGCCUGAGCUGACACCAAGAGUUGGACACUUAACUGACUGAGCCACCUAGGCGCCCCAAGGAUAUUAAGUUUGAAUCUGAAAUUCAGAGUGGGAAGGUGAAUUAAUUUAGCCACUAAAUAUGUGAGUGACAUAAAGCAAGAUAUUAUCCCUUAGAAUCAAAGUUUAAAUUUUUCUUUAAUGUUUAGUUUUGAGAGAGAGGAAGACACAGAAUCCGAAGCAGCCUCCAGGCUCUGAGCUGUCAGCACAGAGCCCAACGCGGGGCUCAAAACCACACAGACCGCAAGAUGACCUGAGGUGAAGUCAGGCCCGCCCCCCCACCUUUUUUUAAUUUUUUAAUUUAUUUUUUUAAUUUUUAUUUUUUUUUUUUACCUUAGAAUCAAAGUUUAGAAAUUAUAGUGCUAUGGGAUCACCUGGGAAGCUUUUAAAACCUGCAAGCUUGGCAAUUAGCAUACCAUUAUUGCUGACUCCAUCUCUGCAGAAUGGGCACAUGGAAACUUACUGUUCGGUGUUUCUGGCAACUAGUUUUGGAGUUGAGGCUUUAAAAGACAAUAAAGGAGUCUUGUUGCUGUGAGUAUAUUUCAUAUCUCACAGAAUACUACCUUUAUUUGCCUGGAUUAUGAAGUUAUUAGUCUCCUGGCUUUUUUGACUACACUGUGAUAGAUCGCUCAAUAUAUAAUCAAUCUAGAAGUAAUCUUAGAAGCAUGCAUUGUGUGCUUAGUAGUAUUCCUAACAGUGUGGUGACUGUUUAUUAGAUCUGCAAUCAGGAUAAUGGUAGUGUUAUUGAACAUUGACAGUUUUUUAGUUGCUGACUUAAUUCCUGGGUUUGAAACCCAAUUUUCUAGCCCUGAAAACUUAAAAAAACCAAUGUAAUUACUUAAGUAGCAGCAAAUAAGAGCGUCAUGUAUUCAGGAAGGACCACUUAAACUGGAAAAUAUGGCUUAAAAUUACUGCAGCUUUUUUUGAUAACUAACCCUUAACUCCUUUAAUUUUAAAUGUUUAUUUUUGAGAUGGAGAGAAGAGUGUGAGCUGGGGAGGGGCAGAGAGAGAGAGAGACCGAGGACCCCAAAUGGGCUCUGCGCUGACAGCAGAGAGCCCAGUGCAGGGCUUCAGCUCAAGAUCUGUGAGCUUGUGACAGAUUUCAAACUCAUGCUUGCCUAACUGAGCCACCCAGGUGCCCCACCCUUAACUUUUGAGAGAGUCUUUAAACAUGAAUACCACAUUUCUUUUCAGAUUAUUAGCUAACCAUCCAUUCAUUUAGUUAGUGCCUGAAUAUAUGUAAGUACUACUCAUUCUUUUGGGAGAUGGAAGAUGGUGGAGUGUUUUAACAAAGAACCAGUCAUUAUUCCUAGCUAUUUCUGUAGUCAGGUUUCUCAAUUUUUCACCCCACAGAGGAGUGCAGUGUUUCUCAACCAUUUUUAACUCUUGUUUCCUUAUUUAAAAAAAAAUUUCUCCCUUAGUGUGUUUUGAUAGCUUUUAAAUCAAAUACAGCUUUUAACAAAUGGUGAUUUUAGUAUUUCUGGUUGAUAGCUGUCCUUAGGAGAGUUGACUUAUUUCCAUCUGAUAGUUGAGAAUUUUGGCAGCAGUGAUAUUCGUAGAAGAACUGCAGUAGUAUAUCUAAAUUUCAUAAAACUUAAAUGUCAAAAAUAACAUUACCUUAACGAAAUCCCUUGUGAAAAUGUACACUGUCAUAGGAGGGAGCUUACAAGUAUUUGGGGAGAUUGUCAACAAAAAACUUUGUUUCCUGCACUGUACAUUUAUGGCAGCGGGGGGGGGGGGGGGGGCGGGAAUUGUAGAGGAAGAGAAUCCUAAACAGGUUCCAUACUUACAGGACAAAGCCUGAUGCAGGGCUUGAACCCACGAACCAUGAGAUAAUGGGGUCCAGAUGCUUAACUAACUGAGCCACCUAAGCACCCCAAUUUUAUCUUUUAAAGCUUUGUUUAUUUAAUUUCUGUACCCAGCGUGGGGCUUGAACUAAUGACUCCAAGAUCAAGAGUCGUAUGCUCUCUUGACUGAGCCAGCCAUCUGCCCCUGUACAUUUAAUCCCCUCAUCUACCAUUAUUAUUACUAUUAUUAAUCCUUUAACUUGUUUAAUAAGUGAAUUUUUGAGGUUUUGUGGUUCUCUUAAUUAGGAUGUGUUAGUAGGUGAGAAAUGCUUAAAACAUCACUAUUUAGAUUAUUUAGAGUUGAAGAUUCAGAUUGUAUGCCAACCACUGGGGACCACAUGGUUUAUAAUCUGCUUUGUUAUGGGUUGAAUAGCAAGUUAGAGCUUUUAUGGGUAAUAAACUGACAUUUUUGCAUUUUUAAAAAAUGUUUUAAACUUAGAGUUGCAAGAACAAUGCAAAGAAUUUAUAUAUGCUUUACCCUGAUUGGCCAGCUUUUAAGAUUUCACAUACUCUUUAUCAAUUCUAUAUUUUCCUGAACCAUAGGAGAUUGGAUUGCAUACAUCACAACCUUUAUACUUUGGUGUAUUUUUUUUUCCAUUUAAUUUUUUUAUUAUUUUAAUUUAAAUUUUAGUUUAACAUACGUUUCAGUGUAUUUUCAGUGUAUUAUAGCAGUUUUCUUCUAAAUUAGUAGUAUCUAAUCCAAAGUUGUACAUAGUUGCCAUUCCUCUUUAGCCUCCUUUGAUGUUGAACAGUUCCUCAGCUUUAAGUUUGAUAUUUCCUCAUUCAGGAAAUAUACAUAUUAGCUGAAAAGCUGCAAAUGAUGUGUGUGUUCUCACUCUCUCAUCCAGAGGCACAUGAUGUUUAUUUACCCCUUAUUGGUGAUGUCAUUGGUGCCCAUUUUCUCCACUGUGUAGUCACUAUUACUGCUUUCAUAAUUAAUAAAAUAUGAGAUACUUUGCAACUGUAAAAAUCCUAUUUCUCAUUAAACAGUUACCCACUUCA